RNAcentral lists this ribosomal RNA (721 nucleotides) under uncultured bacterium. RNAcentral describes it as "bacterial SSU rRNA". It matches the Rfam family "Bacterial small subunit ribosomal RNA", at positions 136 to 851 of the family's 1533-position model. The record is from RNAcentral.
CAGAUGGAUAACCGGGAGAAAUCCCGCCUAAUACAACAUAAUGCCGGGAGGGGACAUCCCCUGCCGGCCAAAGGGGGCGACCCCGGUCACGGAUGGGCAUGCGGCGCAUUAGGUAGUUGGUGGGGCAACGGCCCACCAAGCCGACGAUGCGUAGGGGUUCUGAGAGGAAGGUCCCCCACAUUGGAACUGAGACACGGUCCAAACUCCUACGGGAGGCAGCAGUGAGGAAUAUUGGUCAAUGGCCGGAAGGCUGAACCAGCCAAGUCGCGUGAGGGAAUAAGGCCCUACGGGUCGUAAACCUCUUUUGCCAGGGAGCAAUGCCGUCCACGUGUGGACGGAAGGAGAGUACCUGGAGAAAAAGCAUCGGCUAACUCCGUGCCAGCAGCCGCGGUAAUACGGAGGAUGCGAGCGUUAUCCGGAUUUAUUGGGUUUAAAGGGUGCGUAGGCGGCCUGCCAAGUCAGCGGUAAAAUUGCGGGGCUCAACCCCGUACAGCCGUUGAAACUGCCGGGCUCGAGUGGGCGAGAAGUAUGCGGAAUGCGUGGUGUAGCGGUGAAAUGCAUAGAUAUCACGCAGAACCCCGAUUGCGAAGGCAGCAUACCGGCGCCCUACUGACGCUGAGGCACGAAAGUGCGGGGAUCAAACAGGAUUAGAUACCCUGGUAGUCCGCACAGUAAACGAUGAAUGCUAGCUGUCCGGGGGGAUUGACCCCUGGGUGCACAG